RNAcentral lists this ribosomal RNA (484 nucleotides) under uncultured bacterium. Its description in RNAcentral is "partial 16S ribosomal RNA". It matches the Rfam family "Bacterial small subunit ribosomal RNA", at positions 30 to 507 of the family's 1533-position model. The record is from RNAcentral.
AUUGAACGCUGGCGGCAGGCCUAACACAUGCAAGUCGAGCGGAUGAAGGGAGCUUGCUCCUGGAUUCAGCGGCGGACGGGUGAGUAAUGCCUAGGAAUCUGCCUGGUAGUGGGGGAUAAUGUCCGGAAACGGGCGCUAAUACCGCAUACGUCCUGAGGGAGAAAGUGGGGGAUCUUCGGACCUCACGCUAUCAGAUGAGCCUAGGUCGGAUUAGCUAGUUGGUGGGGUAAAGGCCUACCAAGGCGACGAUCCGUAACUGGUCUGAGAGGAGGAUCAGUCACACUGGAACUGAGACACGGUCCAGACUCCUACGGGAGGCAGCAGUGGGGAAUAUUGGACAGUGGGCGAAAGCCUGAUCCAGCCAUGCCGCGUGUGUGAAGAAGGUCUUCGGAUUGUAAAGCACUUUAAGUUGGGAGGAAGGGCAGUAAGUUGAUACCUUGCUGUUUUGACGUUACCAACAGAAUAAGCACCGGCUAACUUCGUG